Long non-coding RNA from Clupea harengus (Atlantic herring), 2676 nucleotides. Lineage: Eukaryota; Metazoa; Chordata; Actinopteri; Clupeiformes; Clupeidae. The record is from Ensembl.
AUUUGAGGAUUUACGGUAUACAGUAUAUAUAUGUGUGUGUGUGUGAUCUAUAUAGUAAGGUAUACAUGGGCAAAGUUUGUCCAUUGUUUCGCUGUUCUUGCAUUAGGGAACCUUCACAGCGGAGACAAUGGCACAUUCCUGAACUUGUUUAUUUUUCAUUUUUAUAUUUUAUUUUCAUUAAAGGCACAGAAGUAGAGCAUUUUAAGAAGCAAGUAAAAGAGGAAGCCUCAAACACAAACCCUCAUUGACAUAACAUAAAAAUACAGUAUAGAAAUCAGUAGAAGAGUAUACAAAUCUGUGGACUGGAUAUACUUGGAAAACCCAAGGAAACACACGCUUCAGUCUCUGUUCAGUCAGUCCAACUCUGCUCUGGGCUCCUUGGCACUGUGACCUUCGACCUUCGACCUUCGACCUUCAGUCUUUAUCAGCGUGAACACCGUCCCUACGUGGCCUUUCAGAGCUUUGGGAUUAAUGGAUGGUGAUGCAUAAACUGACUGGAUUCAUUCUACUUCCUAAACUUAAAAAUAGAAUUUCUGUCUUGCUAUCUUUGAGCUGUACAUGCUUUUACAACAAGUAAACUGUCCGAUUGCAGUGUUGUGUACAGGUGCAAAUAAUGUGCAUUUGUGCUUUGAACGGCAGUCUGACAGUGACUGACAGACUAAAACAAACAUGGCUUCUGGAUGAUGCUACUGCCAAGCUGUAUCUUACACCUUUAAAAAUCGACUUCACUGUUCACAGAUUCCAGAUUCAGAUGCAACUGACUGGAUUCACUGACACUGACACAGAAUACUGGUCAGAAGCAGGUUUGGGUCUUUAGGUGACUAGGCUAGUUGCCUGAAUUAAAAUGCAGAAUAGUACAUAGUCAGGUUGAAAUUUACAUAAGGCUUAAUGCUUAAGCUUGCUUAAGGCCAAAAAGUAAAAUAAUUUUGUUAUAAAACUAAAGAACAAAAAUAGUGCAUCACAAAGACAGCAGGUAAUAAAAUGACAGAAACAAAACACUGAACAAAAAAACUAAGAAAUUGAAAUAUGCCUAUAUGACAUUUCUCUCUGUCACCACUAGAUGGCACAUGAGCCUUAAAACUCAAGAGUUUGGUCUGUCAUGGUUUUCUCUUGUGUAAUGGGGGUGAACAUGAUUUAAGGGAUGUCACAGUAGAGACAAGACUUUAACAAAAAAUAGAUUACUUUUUUUUAAAUAUGGAACAGUGUAUGAAACCAAGGGGGUGUGAACAGUGUGUUUCUGAUUGUUUUUUUUAACGUACGAUAAAUAAUCCGAAAUAUUCAGUGCACAGACUCCAAUGAGGCAGAAGUGAAACUAGGGAACGAUUCAGAAAGAUAAAUCUAUUCUGAAGAAAGAUAAAUCUAUUCUGAAUCUCAGAAUAGCAAGAUUGUCAGAUGUACACAGUAUGCUGUAGAGGUUUUUGUAAAAGAAAAAGAAGUUCUAAAAGUGACAGGAAAUCCCACUUUUUUCCACCAAAUGCUGCCCACGGCGUUCACAGUUUCUCAUCAGAUUCAUCUCUUUGAAUUGUGCCCUUAAAAACUGGAACUAACCCAGGCAGAUCCGGACACCUAAUGUCCCCACAUUCAACGCUAGUUGGGUGGCAAAGCUGCCUCGGUUAGUGUCGUCCUUCAUCAUAAAAGUAAAGAGAUUACACAGCAGGAGGCGACACAAAGACCCAGAACACACUCAACUACAUAUACUUACAAAAAAAUGCAAAACAAAAAGAAGGAACCUAAACAUGGACCUGUGAUCGUUAUACUUCACAAAUGUUCUUCAUCUAUUUUAAAUAUCUAAACCCAGACAGCUGACUCUGGUACAGAUCUGGCCCUGAUCUAGACCUAAUCUAGACCUGAUCUAGACCUGAUGUAGACCUGAUCUAGACCUGAUCUAGUCCUGAUCUAGUCCUGAUCUAGACCUGAUCUAGACCUGAUCUAGUCCUGAUGUAGACCUGAUCUAGACCUGAUCUAGACCUAAUCUAGACCUAAUCUAGACCUAAUCUAGUCCUGAUGUAGACCUGAUCUAGACCUGAUCUAGUCCUGAUGUAGACCUGAUCUAGACCUGUUCUAGACCUGAUGUAGACCUGAUCUAGACCUGAUCUAGACCUGAUCUAGUCCUGAUGUAGACCUGAUGUAGACCUGAUCUAGACCUAAUCUACACCUGAUCUACACCUGAUCUAGACCUGAUCUAGACCUGGAUCAGGCCUAGGUCGGCACCAUAUGUGGGUCAAAUCUGUCCCGAAGUCACCUGGUCUCCAGGAAUAUAUACAGUAGAUAAUAUAUACAUGAUAAAGUAGCAUACACAACCAGGAGCCACUGAUUGCAUAAGUGCUCUACCGGGCCAAUUGGAUUCCGCUAAACUCUACAACACUCGCAGAACACGUCUCCAUGGUGACAUGACAUGAGGAGACAGCAGGGUUCUACCUGGAUCAGGAGGACAGAGGAGAAGGGCUGGGGGGGGGGGGGGGGGUUGUAAGAGAAGUGUAGCAGAGGACGGGUAUGACCGGCAGGAUAGAUCACAGGCUGACAGGUGGGUGGUUGUGGAUCUAGUGUGUAGCUGUAUCUAGGUCUGUAUAAGCUGCGUUUGGUGGCUGUAUGUAGGGCUGUACAAGGGAGAUUAGCUGAGUUUUAUGGCUGUAUCUAGGGGUGUAUAGGGGUAUCUGUAUUUUUGUUUGGGGGGGG